Molecule: ribosomal RNA, 326 nt
Filed under: uncultured eukaryote
Lineage: Eukaryota
Description: partial 18S ribosomal RNA
Rfam family: Eukaryotic small subunit ribosomal RNA
Source: RNAcentral
CCCUUAGAUGUUCUGGGCCGCACGCGCGCUACACUGAUGCAUUCAACAAGCCUAGCCUUGACCGAGAGGUCCGGGUAAUCUUUGAAACUGCAUCGUGAUGGGGCUAGAUUAUUGCAAUUAUUAAUCUUCAACGAGGAAUGCCUAGUAAGCGUGAUUCAUCAAAUCGCGUUGAUUACGUCCCUGCCCUUUGUACACACCGCCCGUCGCUCCUACCGAUUGAAUGUGUUGGUGAGGAGCUCGGAUUGGCAGCAGUCGGUGGUUCGCCACCGGCUAUUGCUGAGAAGUCCUCCAAACCGCCCCAUUUAGAGGAAGGAGAAGUCGUAACA